CGGCAGAACAGAUUUGGCUUGAGUAGC
Molecule: small RNA, 27 nt
Filed under: Bombyx mori (domestic silkworm)
Lineage: Eukaryota; Metazoa; Arthropoda; Insecta; Lepidoptera; Bombycidae
Description: ovarian small RNA-14474
Source: RNAcentral